RNAcentral lists this transfer RNA (83 nucleotides) under Candidatus Campbelliibacteriota bacterium. RNAcentral's name for it is "Candidatus Campbellbacteria bacterium tRNA-Leu". It matches the Rfam family "tRNA". Rfam says of the family: Transfer RNA (tRNA) molecules are approximately 80 nucleotides in length. Their secondary structure includes four short double-helical elements and three loops (D, anti-codon, and T loops). The record is from RNAcentral. Lineage: Bacteria; Candidatus Campbelliibacteriota.
GGGCAAGUGGCGGAAUGGCAGACGCGCUGCGCUUAGGACGCAGUUGGAUUUAUCCAGUGAGGGUUCAAGUCCCUCCUUGCCCA